AUACGUAGGGGACGAGCGUUGUCCGGAAUUACUGGGCGUAAAGGGCGCGCAGGCGGAUAUUUAAGUCAGCUGUAAAAGGCAUGAGCUCAACUCAUGUAUGCGGUUGAAACUGGGUAUCUAGAGUGCUGGAGAGGUAGGCGGAAUUCCCGGUGUAGCGGUGAAAUGCGUAGAUAUCGGGAAGAACAGCAGUGGCGAAGGCAGCUUACUGGCCAGCAACUGACGCUGAGGCGCGAAUGACAGGGGUACGAACGGGAUUAGAUACCCCGGUAGUCCUGGCAGUAAACGAUGUAUUCUGGGUGUGAGACUAGCUAUAGUUUCGUGCCGAAGUUAACGCGAUAAGCAUACCGCCUGGGGAGUACGUUCGCAAGAUUGAAACUCAAAGGAAUUGACGGGG
Molecule: ribosomal RNA, 394 nt
Filed under: uncultured bacterium
Lineage: Bacteria
Description: partial 16S ribosomal RNA
Rfam family: Bacterial small subunit ribosomal RNA
Source: RNAcentral